UAACGCGUGAAGUUGACCGCCUGGGGAGUACGGUCGCAAGAUUAAAACUCAAAGGAAUUGACGGGGACCCGCACAAGCGGUGGAUGAUGUGGAUUAAUUCGAUGCAACGCGAAAAACCUUACCUACCCUUGACAUGUCCGGAAUCCUGCAGAGAUGUGGGAGUGCCCGAAAGGGAAUCGGAACACAGGUGCUGCAUGGCUGUCGUCAGCUCGUGUCGUGAGAUGUUGGGUUAAGUCCCGCAACGAGCGCAACCCUUAUCAUUAGUUGCUACGCAAGGGCACUCUAAUGAGACUGCCGGUGACAAACCGGAGGAAGGUGGGGAUGACGUCAAGUCCUCAUGGCCCUUAUGGGUAGGGCUUCACACGUCAUACAAUGGUCGGUACAGAGGGUUGCCAAGCCGCGAGGUGGAGCCAAUCCCAGAAAGCCGAUCGUAGUCCGGAUUGUUCUCUGCAACUCGAGAGCAUGAAGUCGGAAUCGCUAGUAAUCGCGGAUCAGCAUGUCGCGGUGAAUACGUUCCCGGGUCUUGUACACACCGCCCGUCACACCAUGGGAGUGGAAUCUGGCAGAAGUAGGUAGCCUAACCGCAAGGAGGGCGCUUACCACGCUGGGUUUCAUGACUGGGGUGAAGUCGUAACAAGGUAACCA
This 645-nucleotide ribosomal RNA is filed under the name uncultured Thiobacillus sp. Its description in RNAcentral is "bacterial SSU rRNA". It matches the Rfam family "Bacterial small subunit ribosomal RNA", at positions 853 to 1502 of the family's 1533-position model. The record is from RNAcentral. Lineage: Bacteria; Pseudomonadati; Pseudomonadota; Betaproteobacteria; Nitrosomonadales; Thiobacillaceae.